RNAcentral lists this ribosomal RNA (478 nucleotides) under uncultured bacterium. Its description in RNAcentral is "partial 16S ribosomal RNA". It matches the Rfam family "Bacterial small subunit ribosomal RNA", at positions 28 to 523 of the family's 1533-position model. The record is from RNAcentral.
GACGAACGCUGGCGGCGUGCUUAACACAUGCAAGUCGAACGGUGAGGCCCUUCGGGGUACACGAGUGGCGAACAGGUGAGUAACACGUGGGUGAUCUGCCCUGCACUUCGGGAUAAGCCUGGGAAACUGGGUCUAAUACCGGAUAGGACCACUGCCUGCAUGGGUGGUGGUGGAAAGCUUUUGCGGUGUGGGAUGGGCCCGCGGCCUAUCAGCUUGUUGGUGGGGUGAUGGCCUACCAAGGCGACGACGGGUAGCCGGCCUGAGAGGGUGAUCGGCCACACUGGGACUGAGAUACGGCCCAGACUCCUACGGGAGGCAGCAGUGGGGAAUAUUGCACAAUGGGCGCAAGCCUGAUGCAGCGACGCCGCGUGAGGGAUGACGGCCUUCGGGUUGUAAACCUCUUUCAGCACCGACGAAGCGCAAGUGACGGUAGGUGCAGAAGAAGGACCGGCCAACUACGUGCCAGCCGCCGCGGUAA